AUCAGGGCAGAGACUAGGACCAGGCAAGCCAGGAAGGCAGGUAGUGCAAUACAGGGUUUAAUUAUGUCUUUCCUUGAAAUUUAGAUGGUUGUCCAUCGUGGAGUUUUAGCAUUAAUUCGAUUUUUAAAAUAUUGCAUGAAAAUAUCCCGAUUGCGCUUUUAGGCCCCCUUCAUGCACGCUGGGGCAGCGCCUGUUAUUCAGUGAGCUGAAACAGGUAAAGUUCUUAGAAGAGGUCUGGUGCUGGAUAAACAGCAGGUGAGUAGGACACAUUACUGCUCAGCGCUGCCUGACAACCUUCCUGGAGCGCGAGUGACUAAUGUUUCUACCUGGCCAGGCACCUAGGCAUGCUUGUAAUUCCAGCACUUUGAGAGGCCAAGGUGGGAGGACCACUUGAGCCAAGGAGUUCAAGUCAGUGAAUCGUGAUCUCACCACUGCAUUCCAGCCUGUGCGACAGAGCUACACGCUGACUCUAGAAGUGGUAUCUUGGUAAGAAAAGGUGGGGAGGAUUAACAAUGGUAAGAACUCUUGCUGUGUGCCAGGCCUUGCGCCAGGGAUUCAAUAUAUGUUCUUUCAUUCCCAUAGCAGCUCUGCACAGACAAUGAUUAUUAUCUCUUCCUACAAGGAGGAAAUGGGAGAUCAAAGGGGAAAGGUUAGUGGUGGGUCCCGGUGCAUGAGUCCUGGGCUGCUCCACAGGGGUUUGAGGUCUGCUGUGCAUGGUGUAGGGGUUGUUUCUUGCAGAUGGGGUGUCCCUGAGCAGACUUUCCCAGGGCCUGACUCCAUCCCGUCUGGACCACUCUGGAAGGCACAUGACCAAGGAACACAUGGCCGGGUCCGUGGGUUUCCAAGCUAGUUUGAGUUCCAGUCUGGCUACUUCCCAGGAGCAAGUCCAUGGGCAAAUUAGCCUCUCUUGAGCCUCAAAUUUCCU
This 925-nucleotide long non-coding RNA is filed under the name Pan troglodytes (chimpanzee). Its description in RNAcentral is "long non-coding RNA NONPTRT003097". Lineage: Eukaryota; Metazoa; Chordata; Mammalia; Primates; Hominidae. The record is from RNAcentral.